Molecule: long non-coding RNA, 977 nt
Filed under: Mustela putorius furo (domestic ferret)
Lineage: Eukaryota; Metazoa; Chordata; Mammalia; Carnivora; Mustelidae
Description: lncRNA (ENSMPUG00000027616.1)
Source: RNAcentral
GGGGAGCCUUGAUUUGUAGUAUUUGCGGCUCAUGUGGCAUAAAUUCUCCUACAGUGACUAGUUUCAAGCUAUCGACGUGAAGGCAUUGAAGGCAGAGCCAGGAAGAGGUGUGCACGGCCGGGCCCUGCAAGGUGGAAGGAGAACGAGUUUCCAAAGCCAGAGGCUCCCGGCUCCAGGUGAUCCCCAGCAGUGGGAACGCAGGUGGACUUGCCCAGAGUGCAAAAUACGGGACCUGUGGCUGCAGGUGCCACAAUGGCCAGAAAGAACCGGUUCUGCCUAUGGUGCGUGCAUGCUUAAGGCAAAAAGAAAAAAAAAAAAAGAAAAAAAAAGACAAGAUUGAAAAUGAUGGCCCUAUUUUAUUUGCUUCAAAAGAAACAGGCUGUUGCAUUGUGCUUGGAACAGUUUACUUUUGGCCUUGACCCCCAGUAGGACGAGCUGGAGAGGAGCAGAACCCCUGGGCUCGAAAUCAGACGAGAAGUCUGCCCUCCUGCAACUGCGGAUUCUCCCUUGCCACUGGCCUGAGCUGGGGGAAGGAAGGAGGAAAUGCCACUCCCCCUCAUAUGAGACUGCUGAUCACGGUAUUUUCAUCCUGCAUUUCAUCUCACCAAGGGGCAAGCAGAUGACCCAAGCCAGGCCAGUUAGAUAUGACCUCCAUAUUCUCUGCGUAGAGAAUCUUAAGCAUGGUAUCACCCUACUCAAAAUUUGGUUGUGGUAGGAACAAACUGUCUUUGCAGAAAUCUCCCCGGGAAGCCUAGCUAUAAACAUGCCACAGAAACGACCCUGACCUUGGAGGCAGUCUCAUCAGGACCAGUAACUCUCAACCUCUAAGAUGUGGCCCGAAACAAUACCUAAUAAUCUCCUUUUGCAAUGACCCUAGAGGUGAAGAUGCUCUCUUCCUGUUUCUCAUGAAAGGAUGUAAGUUGUAUUUUUUAGUUUCCUUUUCCGGUCCAGUAAUCUCUUGUUCAAUGUAUGAGAUU